RNAcentral lists this ribosomal RNA (483 nucleotides) under uncultured bacterium. Its description in RNAcentral is "partial 16S ribosomal RNA". It matches the Rfam family "Bacterial small subunit ribosomal RNA", at positions 28 to 523 of the family's 1533-position model. The record is from RNAcentral.
GACGAACGCUGGCGGCGUGCUUAACACAUGCAAGUCGAACGAUGAUGCCCAGCUUGCCGGGUGGAUUAGUGGCGAACGGGUGAGUAACACGUGAGUAACCUGCCCCUGACUCUGGGAUAAGCGUUGGAAACGACGUCUAAUACUGGAUAUGACUGCCGGCCGCAUGGUCUGGUGGUGGAAAGAUUUUUUGGUUGGGGAUGGACUCGCGGCCUAUCAGCUUGUUGGAGAGGUAAUGGCUCACCAAGGCGACGACGGGUAGCCGGCCUGAGAGGGUGACCGGCCACACUGGGACUGGGACACGGCCCAGACUCCUACGGGAGGCAGCAGUGGGGUAUAUUGCACAAUGGGCGAAAGCCUGAUGCAGCAACGCCGCGUGAGGGAUGACGGCCUUCGGGUUGUAAACCUCUUUUAGUAGGGAAGAAGCGAAAGUGACGGUACCUGCAGAAAAAGCACCGGCUAACUACGUGCCAGCCGCCGCGGUAA